This 792-nucleotide ribosomal RNA is filed under the name Salmonella enterica. RNAcentral's name for it is "partial 23S ribosomal RNA". It matches the Rfam family "Bacterial large subunit ribosomal RNA", at positions 2139 to 2925 of the family's 2925-position model. Lineage: Bacteria; Pseudomonadati; Pseudomonadota; Gammaproteobacteria; Enterobacterales; Enterobacteriaceae. The record is from RNAcentral.
CAGGAUAGGUGGGAGGCUUUGAAGUGUGGACGCCAGUCUGCAUGGAGCCGUCCUUGAAAUACCACCCUUUAAUGGCUGGUGUUCUAACGUAGACCCGUGAACCGGGUUGCGGACAGUGUCUGGUGGGUAGUUUGACUGGGGCGGUCUCCUCCUAAAGCGUAACGGAGGAGCACGAAGGUUGGCUAAUCCUGGUCGGACAUCAGGAGGUUAGUGCAAUGGCAUAAGCCAGCUUGACUGCGAGCGUGACGGCGCGAGCAGGUGCGAAAGCAGGUCAUAGUGAUCCGGUGGUUCUGAAUGGAAGGGCCAUCGCUCAACGGAUAAAAGGUACUCCGGGGAUAACAGGCUGAUACCGCCCAAGAGUUCAUAUCGACGGCGGUGUUUGGCACCUCGAUGUCGGCUCAUCACAUCCUGGGGCUGAAGUAGGUCCCAAGGGUAUGGCUGUUCGCCAUUUAAAGUGGUACGCGAGCUGGGUUUAGAACGUCGUGAGACAGUUCGGUCCCUAUCUGCCGUGGGCGCUGGAGAACUGAGGGGGGCUGCUCCUAGUACGAGAGGACCGGAGUGGACGCAUCACUGGUGUUCGGGUUGUCAUGCCAAUGGCACUGCCCGGUAGCUAAAUGCGGAAGAGAUAAGUGCUGAAAGCAUCUAAGCACGAAACUUGCCCCGAGAUGAGUUCUCCCUGAGACUACAAGUCUCCUGAAGGAACGUUGAAGACGACGACGUUGAUAGGCCGGGUGUGUAAGCGCAGCGAUGCGUUGAGCUAACCGGUACUAAUGAACCGUGAGGCUUAACCUU